This 497-nucleotide ribosomal RNA is filed under the name uncultured bacterium. RNAcentral describes it as "partial 16S ribosomal RNA". It matches the Rfam family "Bacterial small subunit ribosomal RNA", at positions 28 to 507 of the family's 1533-position model. The record is from RNAcentral.
GAUGAACGCUGGCGGCGUGCCUAAUACAUGCAAGUCGAGCGAACAGACGAGGAGCUUGCUCCUCUGACGUUAGCGGCGGACGGGUGAUUAACACGUGGAUAACCUACCUAUAAGACUGGGAUAACUUCGGGAAACCGGAUCUAAUACCGGAUAAUAUAUUGAACCGCAUGGUUCAAUAGUGAAAGACGGUUUUGCUGUCACUUAUAGAUGGAUCCGCGCCGCAUUAGCUAGUUGGUAAGGUAACGGCUUACCAAGGCGACGAUGCGUAGCCGACCUGAGAGGGUGAUCGGCCACACUGGAACUGAGACACGGUCCAGACUCCUACGGGAGGCAGCAGUAGGGAAUCUUCCGCAAUGGGCGAAAGCCUGACGGAGCAACGCCGCGUGAGUGAUGAAGGUCUUCGGAUCGUAAAGCUCUGUUAUUAGGGAAGAACAAAUGUGUAAGUAACUAUGCACGUCUUGACGGUACCUAAUCAGAAAGCCACGGCUAACUACGUG